This 253-nucleotide ribosomal RNA is filed under the name uncultured bacterium. RNAcentral's name for it is "partial 16S ribosomal RNA". It matches the Rfam family "Bacterial small subunit ribosomal RNA", at positions 524 to 776 of the family's 1533-position model. The record is from RNAcentral.
GACAGAGGGUGCAAACGUUGUUCGGAAUUACUGGGCGUAAAGCGCGUGUAGGCGGCUAUGCAAGUCGGAUGUGAAAGCCCUCGGCUCAACCGGGGAAGUGCACCCGAAACUGCAAAGCUAGAGUCUCGGAGAGGAUCGUGGAAUUCUCGGUGUAGAGGUGAAAUUCGUAGAUAUCGAGAGGAACACCGGUGGCGAAGGCGGCGAUCUGGACAGAAACUGACGCUGAGGCGCGAAAGCUAGGGGAGCAAACAGG